This 749-nucleotide ribosomal RNA is filed under the name Curtobacterium sp. RNAcentral's name for it is "bacterial SSU rRNA". It matches the Rfam family "Bacterial small subunit ribosomal RNA", at positions 71 to 833 of the family's 1533-position model. Lineage: Bacteria; Bacillati; Actinomycetota; Actinomycetes; Micrococcales; Microbacteriaceae. The record is from RNAcentral.
AAGCCCAGCUUGCUGGGUGGAUUAGUGGCGAACGGGUGAGUAACACGUGAGUAACCUGCCCCUGACUCCGGGAUAAGCGUUGGAAACGACGUCUAAUACUGGAUAUGAUCACCGGCCGCAUGGUCUGGUGGUGGAAAGAUUUUUUGGUUGGGGAUGGACUCGCGGCCUAUCAGCUUGUUGGUGAGGUAAUGGCUCACCAAGGCGACGACGGGUAGCCGGCCUGAGAGGGUGACCGGCCACACUGGGACUGAGACACGGCCCAGACUCCUACGGGAGGCAGCAGUGGGGAAUAUUGCACAAUGGGCGAAAGCCUGAUGCAGCAACGCCGCGUGAGGGAUGACGGCCUUCGGGUUGUAAACCUCUUUUAGUAGGGAAGAAGCGAAAGUGACGGUACCUGCAGAAAAAGCACCGGCUAACUACGUGCCAGCAGCCGCGGUAAUACGUAGGGUGCAAGCGUUGUCCGGAAUUAUUGGGCGUAAAGAGCUCGUAGGCGGUUUGUCGCGUCUGCUGUGAAAUCCCGAGGCUCAACCUCGGGCUUGCAGUGGGUACGGGCAGACUAGAGUGCGGUAGGGGAGAUUGGAAUUCCUGGUGUAGCGGUGGAAUGCGCAGAUAUCAGGAGGAACACCGAUGGCGAAGGCAGAUCUCUGGGCCGUUACUGACGCUGAGGAGCGAAAGCGUGGGGAGCGAACAGGAUUAGAUACCCUGGUAGUCCACGCCGUAAACGUUGGGCGCUAGAUGUAGGGACCUUU